Long non-coding RNA from Ahaetulla prasina, 5287 nucleotides. RefSeq lists it as uncharacterized. The record is from RefSeq and is a predicted model, not a curated record. Lineage: Eukaryota; Metazoa; Chordata; Lepidosauria; Squamata; Colubridae. The transcript has 3 exons.
GAUUCCCUCCUCACCGUAGGCGACACCAAUCUUGCAAGCCUAAACAAAGGGUUGAGGGUGAAGCCGGAGAGAUACAAGCCCAGCCUGAACAUGGCUGAUCGUGAUCCUCAAAAUGGCGUUAACUUGUGGCCUGUGAUUCUCCUAGCUGAACCUCCUUGGAAUUUAACUUCCUAUCUCCUCUUCCUCCAAGAAGAAGAAAACAACAACAAAGUAAGCAGGCAUUGAAAAGAGGGACCAGUGACCGGUUUUCACGCUUACGAUGGCAGUCCUCGACUUACAACUAUGACGGAGCCCAAUCUACCUAUGGCUGAGCCAAACAUUUAUGAAGCAACAUUUGCUUCAUUUUAUGACCGUUCCUUGCCACAGGUGUGAAGCACCGCGCUUGUUAAAUCAGUCACACGAUGGUCGAAGGAAUCCGGCUUCCCCCCUCGACUUUGCUUAUAAGCUGGUCGCAAAAGGGGAUCGCGUGAGACCGUCGGAACACCGAGACCGUCAUAAAUAUGAGUCAGCCGCCGAGUGUCUGAAUUUUGAUCGUGUGACCACGGGGAGGCGAUUUGUGGUUUGUUAAGUGUGAAAAACGGUCCCACGUCACUUUUUUUUCGGUGCCGUCAUAACGUUGAACGGUCACUAAGUGAACUGCUGUACAUCCAGGACUACCUGUACAUUGUUUAAUUUUGAAUAAAUGAAUAGGACGGAAUAAAGCUGGAAGGGACAUCGGAGGUCUUCUAGUCCAACCUGCUCAGACUAGGUGGCUCAGUGGCUAAAACACUGAGCUUGUCAAUCAGACAGGUCGGCAGUUCAAAUCCCUAGUGCAGGUCUUCUGCGUGAGCAGGGGGGAUUGGACUAGAUGACCUCCAAGGUCCCUUCCAACUCCACUACUGUUAAACUGCUAAACCCUCUGCUGAUGCUGCUGACCCCAUUUCAGGUAAGUGACUGUCUAGUCUCUUCUUAAAAAGCUCCAGUGAUGGAGCAUCCACGAUUUCUGGUGGCAAGCUGUCCCACUGGUGAAUUGUCCCCACUGUUAGGAAGUUCCUCUUAAGUUCUAGGUGGCUUCUCUCUUUGAUCGGUUUCCAACCGUUGCUUCUUGUCCUGCCUUCUGGUGCUCUGGAGAAUAAUUUGAAAGCUAUUAUGGAUUUUAUUAAUGGUAUUUUAGAGAUGAUAUGAAGAAAAACUGCGUUUUUUCUUUUUUUUCUGAGUAUGGUUAAUAGCAUAAGAAAUUGCAAAUAUAUGAUUGAUGUUGAUGUUUAAUAAGUAGAAGAUACCAAAAAAAUUAAAUAUUGAAUGGGAAUAUAAGAGUUUAGUAUAAAUGAAAGUAGAAAAAGGGGGGGGAGAGGAAAAUUUGAUAAAAGAUUAAAAUUUAGGGUGAAGGGUAAGAUUAGAUUUAUAAAGAGAAAUAAAAGAAGGAAAGUAAGAGAAAAUAUAUCAAUGAAAGAAUGUAAGAUGUGUUAGAGGAGAACUAAAUUUGUUAUGAACAUGUAACCUGGCCGAUAUUUUAUCCAGAAAAAAUGUAUGUUGUUUGUGUGCAAAAAAAUACCAUUGGAAGUGUCUUGGCGACGUUUCGACGAAGUCUCAUGCGUCAUCUUCAGGCUUCAGCUUCGUGCUUCUGGGAGCAAUGUGUGAUUGCAGCUGUUUCUUCCUUUUUAACUGCUAGUGGGGGUUUGAACUGAUUGGGUGGGAGCUUGGCUGUGAUCUGAUUGGAUGGGGGUUUUUUUGUGCUCUGAUUGGCUGAGGGUGUGUCCUGUUUGGGUGGGGGCUUGGUUGUGCUCAGAUUAGUCUGAGUUGCAGGAAUCGCCAAGACACUUCCAAUUUUACGCGGGAGAAAACCCGAAUAACCAAAGACCUACAUAUAUACACACACACACACACACACACGAAAGAGAGAAUAAUUUUACCCCCUCUUCUUUGUGGCAGCCCCUCAAAUACUGGAAUCCUGCUAUCACGUCACCCCUAAUUCUUCUUUUCUUUAAGAUUAGUCCUGUCGGCAAUGCUAAUGGCGAACUGAGUACGCUUUGUUAGGAAAUUAUUUAUCCAUGGAUUCCUGAUCAAUGAGCAAAAAGCCUGCAGUUAAAAAAGCAGUCUGGGAAGGUUUCCGACGCCUGACUUAAGAACUGACAGGUUCCUGUCUCUCCCUCUUGCAAUUUGCCAAUGCUGCAAAGGUGGAUGACUCCAGGCCCAGCUCCGAGCACCGAAGGGUGACACCUUUGCCUUGCAUGCAAAUUAAAUUGAAUCAUGCAUGUUUCUGUAAGGCGUUGACAGCCUUUAGAAGAAGAAGAAGAAGUGGCCCCUGGCCAAGAGAGGUGAGAUAAACUGGCAACAGGCAAAGGGUACGUUGCCCAGCCCAGGUUGACAUUCACACAGACAGGAUUGUGCAGGUCACAAAUGCGCGGAUUGCACGACAGCAGAAAUCAAGGGGCAUUGGGUUCUUUGGCCUCCCCGUGGCUGGAAACGAGGCUGGUGGCUUUUAAUGCCUGUGUAGCAGAGACGUCAACCUGCCAACAAAAGUGCAUAUAAUCAAGGCAAUGGUUUUCCCAGUUCAGUGUCUGGCUGUGAAAGUUGGACCACAAGGAAGGCUGAGUGCCAAAGAAUGGUGGCCUUUGAACUCUGGUGCUGGAGAAGACUCCUGCGAGUCCCUUGGACUGCAAAGCGAUCCAACCGGUCGGUCCUAGAGGAGAUCAACCCUGACUGCUUUUUCGAAGGCCAGAUCUUGAAGAGGAAACUCAAAUGCUUUUGCCACCUAAUGAGAAGGAAGGACUCCCUGGAGAAGAGACGAAUGCUGGGAACGAUGGCGGGCAAAAGAAGGAGGGGACGGCAGAGAACGAGGUGGCUGGAUGGAGUCACCGAAGCAGUGGCAUGAGCUUAAAUGGUCUCCGGAGGAUGGUAGAGGACAGGAAGGCCUGGAGGAAUGUGGUCCAUGGGGUUGCGAUGGCUCGGACACGACUUCGCAACUAAUAACAACAAAAAAACCAAUAUCACAAGGACUCUACGCCAGGAUAAAGGUCUUCUAUUGAGCUUGGGGGGGGGGGGCGCGGAAAAGAGACCCACGCGAUUGAGCAGCUGAACGGGUGAAAAAGCACAGCUCUUGUGAAACUUUAAAAGUUUUUCCACUUCCGGCGCGAAUGUCUCGAUUCAAACGAUUAUCUCUGUAUUUGUUUGUGUGGAGUCAGCAAAUGGCAGCACCUGAUAUUCCCAAGACUUUCUGGGGCUAAGGAGGGCUUAAGAAAUUACCUGUCAAAUAGGGCGGCGCUGGUUUAUGCUUAGCUCUGCAACUGCACCCCUGGCACCGUGUGCGCCUGCAUGAAUUCUGGGUACAGCUGAAAUCAGCAUAUCGGCUCCCACUUGUGCUCCGGGCCCAAAAAAAAAACCCAACAACACCCUUUUGUGCCUAAACACGAUGCCAGGUCAAAUCAAGCGGGCGCUGAGAAAUUCCUGCCGGGCACCUUUGGCAGGGAAAAAGGCGAGGCGUGCCGGUUACGCAAUGGGGAAAUCUGCUCUUUUUCAAAACAAGCUCCGGGAUUUCAGCAGAAGCCCGGUUUAGACGAGGACACGCUGAGGAUUGACAGGUUACGCCAGGUUAAAUGAUGGGGUUCCCUCGCCAAGAAUUGCCUAUCGAGACCAAUUAUUCAUGUCUCCUGUGGGCCUACCGGAUCGCGCAGGAGAUAAUUUCUCUCUGUCUGCUUACGGCAUGAGAAGUUGACUUCUGACUCAUGAGAAGUUGCCAGGGGGGGAACGCACGCAGGGGGGCACAAAUAGCGCCCAGGGGUACUGACUGAUCUCUCUUUGGCAUCUACCAGCUCCACUUCCUGGAGUUAUUUUAUUUUUUAAAAAAAACUCUUCUAAACAACUAUGGAAACCAAGAACGAAGUGCCUGGCAAGCUUAUCCCUGUUGGUGUUUGGUUUACUGAUGUGCCCACUGGUCUGGGGGAAAGGUCAAAGGUCAGGAAGAAGGGUUAGGCAAGCCUUGGCAUGGGGGGGGGACUGGGGGAAGACAGUGGCAGAGGAUGGCAAGUAGCAUUUCGAUAAACCGGCCCUUGCGCGUUAAUAGGACUUGCAAGGUGUUUUCAAAUGUUAACAUCUGCCUAGCGGUCUUCAGGGAACCCCGUUUUCUCAGAUCCUCGAUCGCCUACGUCAAGCUUAUUCUCACCCAACCUGCCUUCUCCACCUGUUCCCUUAAUGUCUAAUUAUUACCUGCACAGGAGGGAGCAGACAAAUUGUAAUUACCCUGCAUCAAUCAGGUAUUAAGUUAUUUGCAAUUCAAAGCAGCCAUCGUGUCUCUCCCCCCCACCACACACACACACCCCGUAUUGCAGAUAAACAAGUUUUAUAAUACGAAACUUGAAAACUGUGGGAACAAGGCGUUGGCUGGCAGAGAGACAUUUUGCAGUCCCUGCCAACUCGAGACGCUGAUCUGGUGUGUGUGUGUGUGUGUGUGUGGUGGGAGCAUCUUAGGCAAUUUCCUUCCAGUGAGUUUUGUGCCCGACCCACCUCCCGGUUCGUGGCCAGUGAGGGGUAAGGAGGCGGGGUGAGAUGCACAGGGAAUCAAGGAGAGGCACUUGUUGGGCUGGCACACAAGGUUUCGUGAACAUUUCAGACAGGAACACAUCGUAUUUUUCGGAGUUGUAGGACUUACUUUUUCCCUCUCCUACUAUCAAUUACUAUUAAUACCAUCAUCAUCAUCUCUUCGGGAGAUACCUGAAUUUGAAAGGCAGAUUGCUACUAUUUAAAACUAAUAGAUUUUAGUUUAAAACUAAUAGACUAUUAGUUUAAAACUAAUAGAUUUAAACUUAAUGUCAACCGCUUUAAUCUAGAUUGCAGAAAAUAUGACUUCUGUAACAGAAUCAUCAGUGCUUGGAAUACUUUACCUGACUCUGUGGUCUCUUCUCAUAAUCCUAAAAGUUUUAUCCAAAAACUUUCUACUAUUGAUCUCACCCCAUUCCUAAGAGGACCAUAAGGAGCAUGCAUAAGCGCACAAACGUGCCUACCGUUCCUGUCCUAUUGUUUUUCUUUUCUUCUUCCUAUAUAUAUAUAUAUAUAUGCUUAUACCUCCUUAUAUUUACUCAUAUAUGUGUUUAUAUACUAUAUAAUCUUUUGUAUGAUACCUACAUAUAUUGUUGUGACAAAAUAAAAUAGAAAUAAAAAUAAAUAAAUAAAUAAAGUUAUCAUCUCUUAAGGAGAUACCUUAAUUUGAAAGGCAGAUUGCUACUCUAUCUUUUUUUUUUUUUUUUUGCGAACCCUGCUCUGGCUCCAGUCCCAAAUGGAGGAAGGGGGCAGAAGCUUUGCAAGGGCUCAG